CGUAGCGACUCCUACGGGAGGCAGCAGUGGGGAAUAUUGCACAAUGGGCGCAAGCCUGAUGCAGCCAUGCCGCGUGUAUGAAGAAGGCCUUCGGGUUGUAAAGUACUUUCAGCAGUGAGGAAGGUGGGUAUGUUAAUAGCAUACUCAUUUGACGUUAGCUGCAGAAGAAGCACCGGCUAACUCCGUGCCAGCAGCCGCGGUAAUACGGAGGGUGCGAGCGUUAAUCGGAAUUACUGGGACGUAAAGCGCAUGCAGGUGGUUUGUUAAGUCAGAUGUGAAAGCCCGGGGCUCAACCUCGGAAUUGCAUUUAGAAACUGGACAAACUAGAGUACUGUAGAGGGGGUAGAAUUUCAGGUGUAGCGGUGAAAAUGCGUAGAGAUCUGAAGGAAUACCGGUGGCGAAGGCGGCCCCCUGGACAGAUACUGACACUCAGAUGCGAAAGCGUGGGGAGCAAACAGGAUUAGAUACCCUGGUAG
This 476-nucleotide ribosomal RNA is filed under the name uncultured bacterium. RNAcentral's name for it is "bacterial SSU rRNA". It matches the Rfam family "Bacterial small subunit ribosomal RNA", at positions 328 to 793 of the family's 1533-position model. The record is from RNAcentral.